CCUUCCGUUUUGUACCGAACUUUCACCAAAGUAUUUAAUCAAGAAUCAAUUAAUUGUGACAUUGAGGUGUUAAAUUGAAUAAACUUGUUUGUAAGAACACAAAUCCUGCGAACGCAUAUUGCUGGCAAUUACUGUACUGCUGUUGCAUACAUUAUUUCAUUCAAAUCAAAAGCUCCCGUACGUAGACGUGUAAUCAUAUCCAAUGCAUUGCAUUGGAAACGCGCCCAUUAUCGUGCGCCUAUCUGCUCGUCCGCGGUUUGGACGACUAAUUGCCGACGCAUCAAAAUGCACUCAGUCCGUUCGCGGGUCGUUCGUUCAGUUCGUUCGCGGGUCGUAUUGAAAAAAGUGCCGAGAGAGUUACCGAAAAAAGUGUGUCAUCCAGUGUCCAGUGUAGAACAUCGUCGUGGAAGUUUUCACCGGAAAAUCCAUCAAGACGUCUUCGAGUUAUGCGAAAACGAACAGAGACCAUUUAAUUGUGGACAAAUUCUAGUGCUUUACCGCAGUGUUUCCUGUUGUGCGGUAACCAAGUAUCGGUGAUAGGACUUAAUACCAACUUUUAAUCGGAUACUCUGGGCUUGGCAUCUAUUGAGUGUGAGUAUUUAGUAGUAAAUAAUUUGUUGAGGAUACUUGUAUUAUGGUAUUUAUAAAUAAAAAUGUUUUAUUUAAUAUUACAUGUAAAUGCUUCGAAAAGCCCGAAAUUCAUGUACUCACCUAUACCACAUUUUUUUUUUUACUGCUCCGAUGCUCCAGGGAAUUUAAUUAAUUUGUCCGAGUUUUUUGUUCAUUAUGACUGAUUUUUUUGUCCUUUUUCGCACAUUUAAAGUUUUUAUUCUGAUGUGCACAAUCAUAGUUUUCUUCACUUUUUACACAUUUUGGAUGUGAAUUUCAUUUCACUAAGUUUUUUUUUUUGAACUUUCUCACUUUGAAAUUCAACCAUUCUGUCUUCUCGAUUUUUUAUAACUACUAGACAGUUCGAAACGGCGUUUCCAUUGCCAAAUUUUAGCGGUUACCGCUGUCACCAAUUGCACGAGCUCGAGCGGUUAGUUUUCUGGAAAACAGUCAUCACAAUUUGAAAAAUAAAACACUUGAACAAUUCUGAUGUGACUUGCUAAC
This is a long non-coding RNA of Armigeres subalbatus, 1113 nucleotides long. RefSeq lists it as uncharacterized. Lineage: Eukaryota; Metazoa; Arthropoda; Insecta; Diptera; Culicidae. The transcript has 3 exons. The record is from RefSeq and is a predicted model, not a curated record.